CAGUCGCCGCGGUAAUACGUAGGGUGCGAGCGUUAAUCGGAAUUACUGGGCGUAAAGCGUGCGCAGGCGGUUCGGAAAGAGAGAUGUGAAAUCCCAGGGCUUAACCUUGGAACUGCAUUUUUAACUACCGGACUAGAGUGUGUCAGAGGGAGGUGGAAUUCCGCGUGUAGCAGUGAAAUGCGUAGAGAUGCGGAGGAACACCGAUGGCGAAGGCAGCCUCCUGGGAUAACACUGACGCUCAUGCACGAAAGCGUGGGGAGCAAACAGGAUUAGAUACCCCUGUAGUCCCUGUCUCUUAUAA
RNAcentral lists this ribosomal RNA (301 nucleotides) under uncultured bacterium. RNAcentral describes it as "partial 16S ribosomal RNA". It matches the Rfam family "Bacterial small subunit ribosomal RNA", at positions 509 to 809 of the family's 1533-position model. The record is from RNAcentral.